UACGGAGGGGACUAGCGUUGUUCGGAAUUACUGGGCGUAAAGCGCACGUAGGCGGAUUUGUAAGUCAGGGGUGAAAUCCCGGGGCUCAACCUCGGAACUGCCUUUGAUACUGCAAAUCUCGAGUCCGGAAGAGGUGAGUGGAAUUCCUAGUGUAGAGGUGAAAUUCGUAGAUAUUAGGAAGAACACCCGUGGCUAAGGCGGCUCUCUAGUACGGUACUGACGCUGAGACGCGAAAGCGUGGGGAGCGAACAGG
RNAcentral lists this ribosomal RNA (253 nucleotides) under uncultured bacterium. Its description in RNAcentral is "partial 16S ribosomal RNA". It matches the Rfam family "Bacterial small subunit ribosomal RNA", at positions 524 to 776 of the family's 1533-position model. The record is from RNAcentral.